AAACCCUAGGGGUUCUUUAAUCAAUUGUAGCCUCUCAACACCCCUCCUCUCUCUCUCUUAAUUUUAUGAUUUUCUCCCUCUAAAAUCUCAAGCUCUCAACGUUUCUUUAAGGGCUUCAAUCAUCAAUCUUUAAGCAGCCAAGAUCCUCAAUUGCAAAGCUUGUUAUUAUCAUGAACAAGGAUGGUACGCCACCAUUUGCAUCGCCUGCCCAAAAUUGAAGUUUUUGUUUAUAACUUGUAAAAACAUUUAUAUCUUUUGAACUUUUUGUAAUUUUCUAUGUAGAUCUGACAUUAAAUAGACUUGGGUUUGUAAUAUAUUAAGAGUUAAGUAAUGUUUAUCAGCUUUUUGUAUGGAUUUAA
Molecule: long non-coding RNA, 359 nt
Organism: Chenopodium quinoa (quinoa)
Lineage: Eukaryota; Viridiplantae; Streptophyta; Magnoliopsida; Caryophyllales; Amaranthaceae
Exons: 2
Source: RefSeq, a predicted model, not a curated record